RNAcentral lists this long non-coding RNA (484 nucleotides) under Pogona vitticeps (central bearded dragon). RNAcentral's name for it is "lncRNA (ENSPVIG00000001628.1)". Lineage: Eukaryota; Metazoa; Chordata; Lepidosauria; Squamata; Agamidae. The record is from RNAcentral.
UUGCCCGGGCGGCUGUCACUCAGCGGCAGAGAGGCUGGCGAUUGGCGCCGGGCUUGGUUACGCAUUUGCCUCGCGCUCACAUACAGGGGUAGGGCAGUAGAAAGGUGAUCAAUCUUCAUCAGGCUACAUUUCCAAUCACCUAAACAACCGGGCGAGACGGCGACCGCGACAAGGAACGGCGGUUUGGUUCUCCCACGUCUCUAAAGUAAACCAAGUGGAUAGGCUUUCCACUCUGUCUCAACUCUGGGCCGUGUCGGGGUGGCGGAGUUCCUCCUUCAUAUCAAAUAUAAACUAAGGGAAAACUUCAACGGGUUCGUUAAUGCUGGAGAGUGCCGUGAGAGGCUGUCCUGCCCCUGGGAUUUCUUUCGCUCACCUCCAUUGGAAGAAUCGAUCUUCUGAAAUAAAACACACCAGGCAAAUAUCCAGGAAUUUAAAGAGACGUUGGCGGAAAAAAGAAAACCAGUUGUGUGCGGACCAUUUGGGG